Molecule: ribosomal RNA, 301 nt
Filed under: uncultured bacterium
Lineage: Bacteria
Description: partial 16S ribosomal RNA
Rfam family: Bacterial small subunit ribosomal RNA
Source: RNAcentral
CAGCCGCCGCGGGAAUACGGAGGGGGCUAGCGUUGUUCGGAAUUACUGGGCGUAAAGCGCACGUAGGCGGCUUGGUAAGUUAGAGGUGAAAGCCUGGAGCUCAACUCCAGAAUUGCCUUUAAGACUGCCGAGCUAGCAGGUGAGAGAGGUAAGUGGAAUUCCGAGUGUAGAGGUGAAAUUCGUAGGUAUUCGGAAGAACACCAGUGGCGAAGGCGGCUUACUGGCUCAUUCUAGACGCUGAGGUGCGAAAGCGUGGGGAGCAAACAGGAUUAGAUACCCCGGUAGUCCCUGUCUCUUAUAU